This 787-nucleotide small RNA is filed under the name Pan troglodytes (chimpanzee). RNAcentral's name for it is "processed transcript". The record is from RNAcentral. Lineage: Eukaryota; Metazoa; Chordata; Mammalia; Primates; Hominidae.
ACAGAUGUGUUGUACUAAGUUCUGCAAGCCUUUGGCAAUUCCAGGAUAGGUUUACUUUCCCUUGAUAAGAGAGGAGUUGGAAGAGUAUUUUCAGCUGUUGUCUUUGGUGCCAUGGCCGUGGGGCAAGUCAGUUCAUUUGCUCCUGACUAUGCCAAAGCCAAAAUAUCAGCAGCCCACAUCAUCAUGAUCAUUGAAAAAACCCCUUUGAUUGACAGCUACAGCACGGAAGGCCUAACGCCGAACACAUUGGAAGGAAAUGUCACAUUUGGUGAAGUUGUAUUCAACUAUCCCACCCGACCGGACAUCCCAGUGCUUCAGGGACUGAGCCUGGAAGUGAAGAAGGGCCAGACGCUGGCUCUGGUGGGCAGCAGUGGCUGUGGGAAGAGCACAGUGGUCCAGCUCCUGGAGCGGUUCUACGACCCCUUGGCAGGGAAAGUGCUGCUUGAUGGCAAAGAAAUAAAGCGACUGAAUGUUCAGUGGCUCCGAGCACACCUGGGCAUCGUGUCCCAGGAGCCCAUCCUGUUUGACUGCAGCAUUGCUGAGAACAUUGCCUAUGGAGACAACAGCCGGGUGGUGUCACAGGAAGAGAUCGUGAGGGCAGCCAAGGAGGCCAACAUACAUGCCUUCAUUGAGUCACUGCCUAAUAAAUAUAGCACUAGAGUAGGAGACAAAGGAACUCAGCUCUCUGGUGGCCAGAAACAACGCAUUGCCAUAGCUCGUGCCCUUGUUAGACAGCCUCAUAUUUUGCUUUUGGAUGAAGCCACAUCAGCUCUGGAUACAGAAAGUG